RNAcentral lists this ribosomal RNA (337 nucleotides) under uncultured bacterium. RNAcentral's name for it is "partial 16S ribosomal RNA". It matches the Rfam family "Bacterial small subunit ribosomal RNA", at positions 338 to 692 of the family's 1533-position model. The record is from RNAcentral.
CCUACGGGAGGCAGCAGUAGGGAAUAUUGCUCAAUGGGGGAAACCCUGAAGCAGCAACGCCGCGUGGAGGAUGAAGGUUUUCGGAUUGUAAACUCCUUUUGUUAGAGAAGAUAAUGACGGUAUCUAACGAAUAAGCACCGGCUAACUCCGUCCCAGCAGCCGCGGUAAUACGGAGGGUGCAAGCGUUACUCGGAACCACUGGGCGUAAAGAGCGCGAAGGCGGGAUAGCAAGUCAGAUGUGAAAUCCUAUGGCUUAACCAUAGAACUGCAUUUGAAACUGUGAUUCUAGAUUAUGGAGGAGUAAGGUGGAAUUCUUGGUGGAGGGGUAAAAUCCGAA